Molecule: long non-coding RNA, 1560 nt
Organism: Danio aesculapii
Lineage: Eukaryota; Metazoa; Chordata; Actinopteri; Cypriniformes; Danionidae
Exons: 5
Source: RefSeq, a predicted model, not a curated record
GGAAGUCCUCGUGUGUGUUUCUACAGAUGUUUGAAGGAAUGAAAGUUGAACAUGAAAGAACAUAUUUUGGAAGAAUUCUCAAAACCGGUAGCCAUUGACAUCCACAGCAUGACUUGAUGGACCUAGUGGAGGGACCAAGGGCAGUGGAAACCUUGUCGUCUUGACUGCGAACACUGCAAAGCGACUCAGAAAUGGAGCCAGGGUCACGACUAUGCAGAGAUGGAAGAAAACCAGGAGGAGAUGCUGUAGAGAGGCUCCACGGCAGAGAACAAAGAGCAAACGUCACACCAGAGUCACUUACACAACCUGCAGAUUUAGAGGAGACGACAAACAGGAAAUGACGGCCAUCUCAGCUUUUAAGCCGCUCAUUUUGCUGACAGUGUGACAUUUGCUUUGUGAGGAAGAGAUGCUGGCCCACUGCGGGCCCGAUCACACUGACAGGCAGCGGCAUUGUGGGAUAUCUCCAUCACUCUCCUCCAGGGAAAGCUGGAUCCUUCACUCUGCCAUUCACUCUCCAUGCGCCAGCCGGCCCUCUGGCUACUGCUUAUACAUGUAUGAUAAUGAAAUGCCACAUUCUUCAUUCUAAUUGCAUCUUGGAUUUUAAAAGGGCAAAAAAAAAAGGCGCUCUUGUGAAAUAGCGAGAGAGAAAUGCACAGCAGCGUAAAGGAGAGUUUAGAGCUGGAAAAAUAAGCACGAGCGUGGACCCAACCCUAGGUGGCAACAAAGGCCUGUGGCGUGUUAAUGCAGCUGAGUUGGAGACCCCUGCUGCCUUACAGCGACACAAUCAAACCCCUUCCCUUCUGUUUUUUCUUCUUCCUCCUUCCCACCCACACGACACGCAGCAAACUUCAUAAAGUGGGAUUAAAAUAAAGCUGUGCAGGGAGGAAAAAAAUAUUAAAGAAAUUCACAACGCUGCUUUUACUUUAAUAAGCUUUAGCAUCCUUUAUCAAGCUGGCGCAGUCCUCAAAGAAUUAGCCGGCUAAUUAGUAUGACUUAUUUCUUUAUCGCGUUUUCUGCUUUCAUUGUGUUUAUUUGUGCGCGUGUGUGUCGGUCGAAUGCACGGCUUUUAUGUGCUAAAAGGAAACGGAGCGGCUUUAAAGCGGCCGUGGUUUGAAUCUGCAGUCCCGCAGAAGACAGAUUGAUGUCCCGCGAUGAUGAUGAAAACACGCAGCGUGUAAGGAAGCAGGAGAGACAUCUAGAGAAAAUGAAGCGCCGUGGCUUGAACCGAUGGGUGUCUUCAGGCAGACAGGAGAGAAAAAGAGAGAGCGCUAUCAGGCCCCGGGAUUAUUCAUGACUCCUCCUCACCAUCUCUCUUCAUAGAAAUGCUGGGAAAAUAUUUACCAGUCAGAGUAAUUUGAUAAAGCUGCGCUGGCCCAGAGAAGGCUAGUCGUGCGUAUAGACACAGUUUGGAGGAGGUUUUGCUCCACACCACCUUUUCUGGCCUAUUAAAAAAACAUCUGACUUGUAUUUCAACUGAUCAAAAUAUAUUAACAUUUAAAUGAGAUGUUUAAUGAAGUUCUUAAUAUUAAAUGUAUUAUACCACAGGCUUAUUUACUUAAA